CUUUUGUAAACUCUUAUAUUCUUGUAAAUUGCUAGACUGCUGUAAAUAAAUCGCUUUUGCUUAUAUUAUGUUUGUCAUCGUUCAUUCCUGGACCCUAUGCCACUUGCUCACAUGCCUAUAUUCCAAAUUCGGCUUCAUUUUAAACGUGCAUCUUCAUUUUAAAUUGAUAACAUUUCCGUGUGUUGGGGGGACAUGUAAAACAACCCCUGGUACCAGGACUGAUGAUUUAAGCUUAAGAACCAUCGGGUGCACGGGAAUUGUGACUUUGGUGACACUAGUAUGAAUUGAUAACUUGGUCCCUCUGACAUAACCCCGUUGCAGCGUACUUAGACAACCAUCUGCCAUAGCAUGAUGGCAUUUAUAAACAGACCAAUUAUAACUCGCUAGUUCAGUUAAAACAACUGUUUUAAUAUGAUUUAGAUCAGCAGUCUCGGUCAUUCUUUUUUAAAAACCACUUUAGACACGUUUGGCUAGUUGGGAACCACAUUUAAAAUUAAUAACUUAUGAGAAAAAGACAGAGAAGUUGUUUUUACAUUAGGUGAAUAAACUGAAGUUAACUAUUUGCAUUUUAAUUUCCUUAAAAUUGUAUGUCUUAAUUCAUGUUCAAAAUUAUAAAAUC
RNAcentral lists this long non-coding RNA (619 nucleotides) under Androctonus crassicauda. Lineage: Eukaryota; Metazoa; Arthropoda; Arachnida; Scorpiones; Buthidae. The record is from RNAcentral.